UACGGAAGGCAGCAGUGGGGAAUAUUGCACAAUGGGCGCAAGCCUGAUGCAGCCAUGCCGCGUGUAUGAAGAAGGCCUUCGGGUUGUAAAGUACUUUCAGUCGUGAGGAAGGUGUUAAGGUUAAUAACCUUAGCAAUUGACGUUAGCGACAGAAGAAGCACCGGCUAACUCCGUGCCAGCAGCCGCGGUAAUACGGAGGGUGCGAGCGUUAAUCGGAAUUACUGGGCGUAAAGGGCACGCAGGCGGUUAAUUAAGUUGGAUGUGAAAUCCCCGGGCUUAACCUGGGAAUGGCAUUCAAGACUGGUUAGCUAGAGUCUUGUAGAGGGGGUAGAAUUCCAUGUGUAGCAGUGAAAUGCGUAGAGAUGUGGAGGAAUACCGGGUGGCGAAGGCGGCCCCUGGGACAAAGACUGACGCUCAUGUGCGAAAGCGUGGGGAGCGAAACAGGGAUUAGAUACCCGU
Molecule: ribosomal RNA, 459 nt
Filed under: uncultured bacterium
Lineage: Bacteria
Description: bacterial SSU rRNA
Rfam family: Bacterial small subunit ribosomal RNA
Source: RNAcentral